This 440-nucleotide ribosomal RNA is filed under the name uncultured bacterium. RNAcentral describes it as "partial 16S ribosomal RNA". It matches the Rfam family "Bacterial small subunit ribosomal RNA", at positions 338 to 795 of the family's 1533-position model. The record is from RNAcentral.
CCUACGGGAGACAGCAGUGGGGGAUAUUGCACAAUGGGGGGAACCCUGAUGCAGCGACGCCGCGUGGGUGAAGAAGCGCCUCGGCGCGUAAAGCCCUGUCAGCAGGGAAGAAAAUGACGGUACCUGAAGAAGAAGCCCCGGCUAACUACGUCCCAGCAGCCGCGGUAAUACGUAGGGGGCAAGCGUUAUCCGGCUUUACUGGGUGGAAAGGGGGCGCAGACGGCGAUGCAAGCCAGGAGUGAACGCCCGGGGCCCAACCCCGGGACUGCGCUUGGAACUGCGUGGCUGGAGUGCAGGAGGGGCAGGCGGAAUGCCUGGUGUAGCGGUGAAAUGCGUAGAUAUCAGGAGGAACACCGGUGGCGAAGGCGGCCUGCUGGACUGCAACUGACGUUGAGGCCCGAAAGCGUGGGGAGCAAACAGGAUUAGAUACCCCAGUAGUC